CCGGGCACUCUGGAUGGACUGCCGGCGACAGCCGGAGGAAGGUGGGAUGACGUCAAGUCAUCAUGGCCCUUAUGUCCAGGGCGACACACGUGCUACAAUGGCCGGCACAGCGGGAAGCGAGGGGCGACCUUGAGCGGAUACCCUCAAAGCCGGUCUCAGUUCGGAUUGCAGUCUGCAACUCGACUGCAUGAAGUUGGAAUCGCUAGUAAUCGUGGAUCAGCCAAGCCGCGGUGAAUACGUUCCCGGGCCUU
This 251-nucleotide ribosomal RNA is filed under the name uncultured Thermovirga sp. RNAcentral describes it as "partial 16S ribosomal RNA". It matches the Rfam family "Bacterial small subunit ribosomal RNA", at positions 1131 to 1382 of the family's 1533-position model. Lineage: Bacteria; Thermotogati; Synergistota; Synergistia; Synergistales; Thermovirgaceae. The record is from RNAcentral.